GCCUAAACAUUUCCCCAAAGAAAAAAAAGAAGAAAAAAGAGGGGAAUAUCAAUUGCGUUGAACGAGCUUCACCGUGAUUUGUAAAUUCAAUCAUCAAUUAUUAGGAAGAGAUAAACAAAAGUUUUAAGUUGAGUUGAGUCGAGUGGAGUUGAUUCGAGAGGAAUUGGGAGGGGGAUAUGGCGAUUUUGUACGUUAGGGCGGCGCCGACGACGGAUCUAAACCGGAACACGGAAUGGUUUACCUACCCCGGCGUCUGGAGCACCUACAUCCUUAUACUAUUCUUCUCUUGGCUGAUGGUCCUCUCCGUCUUCGCCUGUUCUCCCGGCAUGGCGUGGACCGUCGUUCAUCUCUCUCAUUUCUUCGUAACAUAUCAAUUUUUUCACUGGAAGAAGGGGACUCCAUUUGCCGAAGAUCAGGGUAUCUACAAUAGGUUGACUUGGUGGGAGCAAAUAGACAGUGGCCAACAACUUACCCGUAAUAGGAAGUUCUUGACAGUUGUUCCUAUAGUUUUGUACUUGAUAGCCUCCCAUACUACUGACUAUCAACAUCCGAUGCUCUUCUUCAACACUGUAGCUGUUUUUGUUCUGGUUGUUGCCAAGUUCCCACAUAUGCAUAAAGUCCGCAUCUUUGGAAUAAAUGCAGAUCAAUGAACUUGUGUCCAUUAAGGAUCUGUGUUAAGGUUGAGCUUACACUCCUACAUCUUUUUGAUUCGGGCUUAGAGAUUGCUGAAGUUGUGCAGAUUGGGAAGUCGGAACUGAGAAGGAUGUCAGUUGAGUAGCUAUUGGAUUUGGUGGAAGCUACUGGUUGAUCGAGGACGUGUAGGUACGUGCGCCAACCGGUAGCAUCUCUGUGCUUUCCCUCCAUUGUACAAAUGGCGUUUUCCUUCAUCAUACAAAUGGUUUUAUUCUGAUGCUUGUCCUGCCAUAGUGGUUGGUGUUAUGACUGAAAUUUUUUAUUCUCUACUAGUACUGAAAAACUUGAUGGUGUUUUCCAAUUUCUGAUUCCGUAUCUAGUAUGUUGUACUGAAAAGGGGGUUUGAACUUUUCCAAACAUACGAUAUGAUUUGAUGUGUUUGUUGAGUAGAA
RNA transcript from Salvia splendens (bonfire salvia), 1085 nucleotides. It is a transcript of the gene named ORM1-like protein 3, with no coding region annotated. The transcript is spliced from 4 exons. The record is from RefSeq and is a predicted model, not a curated record. NCBI's taxonomy places the organism in Eukaryota, Viridiplantae, Streptophyta, Magnoliopsida, Lamiales, Lamiaceae.